UUGAUCCUGGCUCAGAACGAACGCUGGCGGCGCGUUUAAGCAUGCAAGUCGAGGGGUAGAAAGUCUUCGGACUUUUGAGACCGGCGAACGGGUGAGUAACACGUAGAUAAUCUGUCUCUGGAUGGGGGAUAGCCCAUGGAAACAUGGGGUAAUACCGCAUAAGCUCUCUUUUUCAUAAGGAGGAGAGAGGAAAGGCGCUUAGGGGUCGUCCGGAGAGGAGUCUGCGGUUCAUUAGUUAGUUGGUGGGGUAAAGGCCUACCAAGGCGACGAUGAAUAGCCGGCCUGAGAGGGUGAACGGCCACACUGGGACUGAGACACGGCCCAGACUCCUACGGGAGGCAGCAGCUAAGAAUCUUCCGCAAUGGGCGAAAGCCUGACGGAGCGACGCCGCGUGAACGAAGAAGGCCUAACGGUUGUAAAGUUCUUUUCUUGGGGAGGAAUAAGCCUUGCAGGGAAUGGCAGGGUGAUGACGUUAACCGAGGAAAAAGCCCCGGCUAAUUACGUGCCAGCAGCCGCGGUAACACGUAAGGGGCGAGCGUUGUUCGGAAUUAUUGGGCGUAAAGGGCGCGUAGGCGGCAUAGCAAGUCAGGUGUGAAAGAUCUCAGCUCAACUGAGGAAACGCGCUUGAAACUGCUGUGCUGGAGUCUAGGAGGGGAAGCUGGAAUUCCUAGUGUAGGGGUGAAAUCUGUAGAUAUUAGGAAGAACACCGGUGGCGAAGGCGAGCUUCUGGCCAUAGACUGACGCUGAGGCGCGAAAGCGUGGGGAGCGAACAGGAUUAGAUACCCUGGUAGUCCACGCCGUAAACGAUGUGCACUGGGUGUCGGCCCGUUGGGGUCGGUGCCGAAGCUAACGCGAUAAGUGCACCGNCUGGGGAGUAUGCUCGCAAGGGUGAAACUCAAAAGAAUUGACGGGGGCCCGCACAAGCGGUGGAGCAUGUGGUUUAAUUCGAUGAUACGCGAGAAA
RNAcentral lists this ribosomal RNA (963 nucleotides) under uncultured organism. Its description in RNAcentral is "bacterial SSU rRNA". It matches the Rfam family "Bacterial small subunit ribosomal RNA", at positions 13 to 968 of the family's 1533-position model. The record is from RNAcentral.